Molecule: ribosomal RNA, 271 nt
Filed under: uncultured archaeon
Lineage: Archaea
Description: partial 16S ribosomal RNA
Rfam family: Archaeal small subunit ribosomal RNA
Source: RNAcentral
CAGCGCCACGAGUGGCAAUCGUUUUUAUUUGGCCUAAAGCGUCCGUAGCUGGUUUUGUAAAUCUCUUGUGAAAUCGUUCGGCUUAACCGAACGGCGUGCAGGAGAGACUGCAAGACUAGGGACCGGGAGGAGUCAGAGGUAUGCAGAGGGGAGCGGUAAAAUGCUAUAAUCCUCCGUAGACCACCUGUGGCGAAGGCGUCUGACUAGAACGGGUCCGACAGUGAGGGACGAAAGCCAGGGGAGCAAACCGGAUUAGAUACCCGAGUAGUCC